Molecule: ribosomal RNA, 253 nt
Filed under: uncultured bacterium
Lineage: Bacteria
Description: partial 16S ribosomal RNA
Rfam family: Bacterial small subunit ribosomal RNA
Source: RNAcentral
GACAGAGGGGGCAAGCGUUGCUCGGAAUUACUGGGCGUAAAGGGCUCGUAGGCGGCCAACUAAGUCAGACGUGAAAUCCCCAGGCUCAACCUGGGAACUGCGUCUGAUACUGGAUGGCUUGAAUCCGGGAGAGGGAUGCAGAAUUCCAGGUGUAGCGGUGAAAUGCGUAGAUAUCUGGAGGAAUACCGGUGGCGAAGGCGGCAUCCUGGACCGGCAUUGACGCUGAGGAGCGAAAGCCAGGGGAGCAAACGGG